RNAcentral lists this ribosomal RNA (457 nucleotides) under uncultured bacterium. Its description in RNAcentral is "bacterial SSU rRNA". It matches the Rfam family "Bacterial small subunit ribosomal RNA", at positions 340 to 786 of the family's 1533-position model. The record is from RNAcentral.
UACGGGAGGCAGCAGUGGGGAAUAUUGGACAAUGGGCGCAAGCCUGAUCCAGCCAUGCCGCGUGUGUGAAGAAGGCCUUCGGGUUGUAAAGCACUUUUGUCCGGAAAGAAAAGCUUAGGGUUAAUAACCUUGAGUCAUGACGGUACCGGAAGAAUAAGCACCGGCUAACUUCGUGCCAGCAGCCGCGGUAAUACGAAGGGUGCAAGCGUUACUCGGAAUUACUGGGCGUAAAGCGUGCGUAGGUGGUUUGUUAAGUCUGAUGUGAAAGCCCUGGGCUCAACCUGGGAAUGGCAUUGGAAACUGGCUUACUAGAGUGCGGUAGAGGGGUGUGGAAUUCCCGGUGUAGCAGUGAAAUGCGUAGAUAUCGGGAGGAACAUCUGUGGGCGAAGGCGACACCCUGGGACCAGCACUGACACUGAGGCACGAAAGCGUGGGGAGCAAACAGGGAUUAGAUACC